GAUGAACGCUGGCGGCGUGCCUAAUACAUGCAAGUCGAGCGAACAGAUGAGGAGCUUGCUCCUCUGACGUUAGCGGCGGACGGGUGAGUAACACGUGGAUAACCUACCUAUAAGACUGGGAUAACUUCGGGAAACCGGAGCUAAUACCGGAUAAUAUAUUGAACCGCAUGGUUCAAUAGUGAAAGACGGUUUUGCUGUCACUUAUAGAUGGAUCCGCGCCGCAUUAGCUAGUUGGUAAGGUAACGGCUUACCAAGGCAACGAUGCGUAGCCGACCUGAGAGAGGGGUAGCUGGCACGAGAGCUGGACCACGGUCCAGACGCCUCAGAGAGGCACCAGACGGGUACGGUCCGCAACAGUGGAGAACCUGACGCAACAGGCGAGAGCGAGAGACAACGGCGCCGGGAUCGUGAAAAUCGCUUACGGGGGAUAAACCGCUGUGUACGGAGAUAAGCACAACUUGACGGUACCUGCUCAGGAAGCCCCGGCUAACUACGUG
Molecule: ribosomal RNA, 497 nt
Filed under: uncultured bacterium
Lineage: Bacteria
Description: partial 16S ribosomal RNA
Rfam family: Bacterial small subunit ribosomal RNA
Source: RNAcentral